CAGGGAGACAACAAAAUGUUUAAUAUUAUUAUUUUGUCACCUUAGGUCGAUCGGUAUCUCAUGUUCUUAAUUUAUUAAGAAUUUCAUUUCCUAAGUUUUUCUAGGUCACACCCAUUAUUUUCCUGGGCCAUUAGCUCAGGUGGUUAGAGCGCACCCCUGAUAAGGGUGAGGUCCCUGGUUCAAGUCCAGGAUGGCCCAUAUCUCUAUGUUGGGGGUAUAGCUCAGUUGGUAGAGCGCCUGCUUUGCAAGCAGGAUGUCAGCGGUUCGAGUCCGCUUACCUCCACUGAUUACCACCUCUUCCAUAAUCUUUAGAAAGGAAAUGUAUUGAGUUGUGAUCAAAUUCUGAACGAAUCUAGCUUCCUAAUGAAAUCAUUAAGAUGCUGGACUCAUUGAAUUAAUUUCAUUGUUUUCAGAGAACCUUGACAACUGCAUAGAUUAUUUUUAAAGACAAUAAGCAUCUUUAAUGAUGCAGAUUUAUUAUUUGUGCGAAUGCAUUAAUAACAAUUCUAUUAAGCUGAUGCUUCAAUUAUGAAGUUAUU
This 539-nucleotide transfer RNA is filed under the name uncultured Prochlorococcus sp. Its description in RNAcentral is "partial 16S-23S ribosomal RNA intergenic spacer". The stretch from base 211 to 283 matches the Rfam family "tRNA". The record is from RNAcentral. Lineage: Bacteria; Bacillati; Cyanobacteriota; Cyanophyceae; Synechococcales; Prochlorococcaceae.